UUAACGCUCCUAGAAUGUCACGGCUGUAUUAUACUAAGAUCACAAUUUACUAAACUAUAAUGGUUAUCUUUCUUCCCUUACCAUUCUUCUAAAAAAAGAAUCAGAUGAAGAUUGUCUCUGAAUUGGAACAAUUUCCGUCCUGAGGGGAUGGAAGGUCACAGUGGCCCCCUAUGUUGUCACCAGUUGAUCUUUGACUCUUUAAGGAAAGCUGAAUGAACAGCCUGUGAGUCAGAGAAUGUGGACAGUGAGUGAGGUUUGCCAUCAGCAAGGACCAUGUUACUGCUCUCCUUUCACAAGAUUCUCAAAUGCUGUUACCAGGAUGGAUGUUGGAGAAAUGAACCAAGAGCACCGUGCUGGCUUCAGAACCGAUACCCUGGAGGAACUGUCGCAUCUGUCAUCCCAUGCUUUUCAGUCCUUUGGAUGUUUGGCGUCUCGGGGCUACUGGAGACGCCUAUGAGCUGGCUUGGGAUGGCUUUAGCCAUUAUAGAAGUGAUACUAUUAGCCUAAGAUUUUUUUUCUUCUGUUUUUCUUCUAUAUGUCCCUGCAGUUAUUUUGAGAGGCAAAUGGAAGGGAAAGAAAUACAGAGAAGUGUGGAGAAAUAAGAAGCUUGGGGAUAACAGAAAUCCUGUAACAGAGUAUGGGUAUGUGAGAAAUAUGUGCUAUUGUUUUCUUUCUCUAAGACCUUGAAUAUGUUAAUAGCCAUGCCAGGAAACAAUGUAAGCUUAGAACCAACCCCUUGAUUAAAGACAACGUGAGUCUUUCCACAUUCUUCCCCCACUGCACAUGCAUCACAUGGUUGAUCUUUACAGAUGUUCACCCCUUUAUUUUUAUGAGAGCAAAAUGGUCCCCAUCACCCUCCAGGGGUGUCCAUACUGUGUUUCUCCUCCUUUCGUAAAUAAAAGAUGUAAUCUGAAACCAA
Molecule: long non-coding RNA, 919 nt
Organism: Peromyscus maniculatus bairdii (prairie deer mouse)
Lineage: Eukaryota; Metazoa; Chordata; Mammalia; Rodentia; Cricetidae
Source: RefSeq, a predicted model, not a curated record